GAUGAAGAACGCAGUGAAAUGCGAUAAGUAGUGUGAAUUGCAGAAUUCAGUGAAUCAUCGAAUCUUUGAACGCACAUUGCGCCCCUUGGUAUUCCAUGGGGCAUGCCUGUUCGAGCGUCAUUUGUACCUUCAAGCUCUGCUUGGUGUUGGGUGUUUGUCUCGCCUUUGCGUGUAGACUCGCCUCAAAACAAUUGGCAGCCGGCGUAUUGAUUUCGGAGCGCAGUACAUCUCGCGCUUUGCACUCAUAACGACGACGUCCAAAAAGUACAUUUUUACACUCUUGACCUCGGAUCAGGUAGGGAUACCCGCUGAACUUAAGCAUAUCAAUAAGCGGAGGA
RNAcentral lists this unclassified non-coding RNA (338 nucleotides) under soil metagenome. RNAcentral describes it as "partial contains 5.8S ribosomal RNA, internal transcribed spacer 2, and large subunit ribosomal RNA". The stretch from base 1 to 120 matches the Rfam family "5.8S ribosomal RNA", at positions 35 to 154 of the family's 154-position model. The record is from RNAcentral.